UGAUAUAUAUACACAACGAAAAAUACCAUGUGUUCUAUGGCACUCCAACCUAACAUGAUCAUAUACAACAUCAAAGCAUUCCGAACCUCCUCCGAACAUGCAUAUAAAUAGAACAACUCUUUAGGGAAAACUACAUGGACUUUGAAUUGGUCAACCUUAUACAUAAUCCUAAAGAUGAAACGUAAACGGAUAAUACACUUUCACAUCCAGGAACACAUAUCCAUGAAGUCUCCAAAGAAUAUAAAACCACCUCCUGGCCAUCUGCUCCCCACAUACAUCGAAUACAAGAUCAUUGCAAUACGAACCACACGUGCAUCAAUGCAAGGGUAAGCUUACCAAAAAACAAGCAUACCAAAAUAGAAUAAAACUUAACAAUUAAAGCACGAUCUAUUAUCAUCACACAUAUAACAUAAACAUAUAGAAAUCAUACAUAAAGCAUAUGCCUCAGAAUUUACAUAACAAAGUAUAUCAUAACAAUCAUCAGUUCGUCAUUCAACAUAUCAAAACUUAAUCAUCAUACACCAUCAUCAUCCUUAGUCAAUCAAUCAUCGUCACCAUGACUUAUCCAUCAAACAUCAUCAUCACUAGUUCAUCAAUCAUUGGAACCAAACAUAGACUCGACCCCAUAGAGAUUUAUGCUACAGAGCAAUUAACCCAAGUACAUCCUUUAACAUAGUUACACCUUGACCAUUUGGGGUGACUUGAAUUAAACCUAAACAAGAUUUUUGGUUUUAUAAAAAAAUAGAUGAGCGUGGUUAGUAACUUACCUUGAUAAGGUAUGCAUUAACUUUAACCUCUCUAGGAGUUUGUUAACCCAUCUAUUCUAUAGGCCCCUUCGGUGUUAGCCACCAUAAAAAACUUCAGGAAUAGGUUGAGGGCUCACGAAGCACCCAAAACUCACGUGCCUACUAACAACCAACAACUACACUUAGAUUACUUGAGGUUUUAGGUACAACACCUAUGUACCCACCAUCUCACUCAUGGUCAGUCUCAAGUAUCCAAGUUUCACCAUCAACAAUAACCCAUUCCAUAUACACUAAAAAGUCACUAAACCUCUUUGGAAAAUAGUUAUCACCACUCUGACACACCAUUUGAAGUCAAAACCUAAGGGUGAUACUUAGGAAGAUACCCCAUUAGGUGAGACCCUUGGGUUAACGUUGCUUUAGUUAGGUGACAUUCUAGCGUGGAACUCGCCCUCCCAAUUAUACAAUUUUCCAAUAACAACAAAUCUUCCUAAAUGAUAUAGUUAACUCCUUUUGACACAUAUGGAUGGUUCUCAAAAGAAGAUUAUUAUCCAUAGGAAUCAUACAUAAUCACAAAUUCAUUACCAGUACCAACACCAUGAAAGGUUGUAAUAUCAUAGAUUCACCAUUCAUAUGUCCAUCACACUCAUGAACCCACCUAUAGUUCAAUAAGCAUAGCAAGACAUUCCAACAUCUUGAAUUCUUGCAAACAACUCACCAAAAAUCAUAUAAAUGUGAAUCUCAUGAACUCAUCAUAAAGUCAACUCUAAUCAUAAAAUAAUAUCAUCUCAACCACAUCUCAUAUCAUC
Molecule: long non-coding RNA, 1552 nt
Filed under: Glycine max (soybean)
Lineage: Eukaryota; Viridiplantae; Streptophyta; Magnoliopsida; Fabales; Fabaceae
Description: long non-coding RNA (GMAX_LNC001981)
Source: RNAcentral